AAGAAAUCACUAUCUCCCAA
Molecule: microRNA, 20 nt
Filed under: Cordylochernes scorpioides
Lineage: Eukaryota; Metazoa; Arthropoda; Arachnida; Pseudoscorpiones; Chernetidae
Source: RNAcentral